This 460-nucleotide ribosomal RNA is filed under the name uncultured bacterium. RNAcentral describes it as "partial 16S ribosomal RNA". It matches the Rfam family "Bacterial small subunit ribosomal RNA", at positions 338 to 795 of the family's 1533-position model. The record is from RNAcentral.
CCUACGGGUGGCAGCAGUGAGGAAUAUUGGUCAAUGGGCGCGAGCCUGAACCAGCCAAGUAGCGUGAAGGAUGACUGCCCUACGGGUUGUAAACUUCUUUUAUAAAGGAAUAAAGUGAGGCACGUGUGCCUUUUUGUAUGUACUUUAUGAAUAAGGAUCGGCUAACUCCGUGCCAGCAGCCGCGGUAAUACGGAGGAUCCGAGCGUUAUCCGGAUUUACUGGGCGUAAAGUGGGCGUAGGCGGGAUGUCAAGUCAAGGGUGAAAUCCCCGCGCUCAACGUGGGAAGUGCAGUUGAAACUGGCAGACUUGAGUGUGGGAGAGGAGGGUGGAAUUCCAGGUGUAGGGGUGAAAUGCGUAGAGAUGAGGAGGAACACCAGUUGCGAAGGCGGCUAUCUGGCACAUAACUGACGCUGAGGAGCGAAAGCGUGGGUAGCAAACAGGAUUAGAUACCCGUGUAGUC